Molecule: ribosomal RNA, 253 nt
Filed under: uncultured bacterium
Lineage: Bacteria
Description: partial 16S ribosomal RNA
Rfam family: Bacterial small subunit ribosomal RNA
Source: RNAcentral
UACGGAGGGUGCGAGCGUUGUCCGGAAUCACUGGGCGUAAAGGGCGCGUAGGUGGCGCGGGAAGUCGUCGGUGAAAGCUCAGGGCUCAACCCUGAGUCGGCCGGUGAUACUCCCGUGCUUGAGUGUGGUAGAGGCCAAUGGAAUUCCGGGUGUAGCGGUGGAAUGCGUAGAGAUCCGGAAGAACACCGGUGGCGAAGGCGGUUGGCUGGGCCACAACUGACACUGAUGCGCGACAGCGUGGGGAGCAAACAGG